RNAcentral lists this ribosomal RNA (510 nucleotides) under uncultured Glomus. RNAcentral describes it as "SSU rRNA". It matches the Rfam family "Eukaryotic small subunit ribosomal RNA", at positions 569 to 1081 of the family's 1831-position model. The record is from RNAcentral. Lineage: Eukaryota; Fungi; Glomeromycota; Glomeromycetes; Glomerales; Glomeraceae.
AGCAGCCGCGGUAAUUCCAGCUCCAAUAGCGUAUAUUAAAGUUGUCGCAGUUAAAAAGCUCGUAGUUGAAUUUCGGGGUCAGUAGGCUGGUCGUGCCACAGGUAUGUACUGGUCUCACUGAUUCCUCCUUCCUGAUGAACCGUAAUGCCAUUAAUUUGGUGUUGCGGGGAAUCUGGACUGUUACUUUGAAAAAAUUAGAGUGUUUAAAGCAGGCUAACGCUUGAAUACAUUAGCAUGGAAUAAUGAAAUAGGACGAUCGAUCCUAUUUUGUUGGUUUCUAGGAUUGACGUAAUGAUUAAUAGGGAUAGUUGGGGGCAUUAGUAUUCAAUUGUCAGAGGUGAAAUUCUUGGAUUUAUUGAAGACUAACUACUGCGAAAGCAUUUGCCAAGGAUGUUUUCAUUAAUCAAGAACGAAAGUUAGGGGAUCGAAGACGAUCAGAUACCGUCGUAGUCUUAACCAUAAACUAUGCCGACUAGGGAUCGGAUGAUGUUAAUUUUUAAUGACUCAUUC